GCGGGGAGGCCGGAUCCUGGGCUGUGUCUCCCGCGCCCUGUGCUCCGGGGCCUGCGCUGUUGGAUUCGCACUCUCCGCGGCACAGCCCUCU
RNAcentral lists this microRNA precursor (91 nucleotides) under Canis lupus dingo (dingo). RNAcentral describes it as "mir-8799 microRNA precursor family". It matches the Rfam family "mir-8799 microRNA precursor family". The record is from Rfam by way of RNAcentral. Lineage: Eukaryota; Metazoa; Chordata; Mammalia; Carnivora; Canidae.